This 74-nucleotide transfer RNA is filed under the name Candidatus Woesearchaeota archaeon. Its description in RNAcentral is "tRNA-Lys". It matches the Rfam family "tRNA". From Rfam's summary of the family: Transfer RNA (tRNA) molecules are approximately 80 nucleotides in length. Their secondary structure includes four short double-helical elements and three loops (D, anti-codon, and T loops). The record is from RNAcentral. Lineage: Archaea; Nanobdellati; Candidatus Woesearchaeota.
GGGCCGGUAGCUCAGCCUGGUAGAGCGCUUGACUUUUAAUCAAGUGGUCGAGGGUUCAACUCCCUUCCGGCCCG